ACUGUGAUGAUGAGCUGCUAACAUGUAAGAAGAGGUCACUUUUGUAGUGGCCUCUUCAGUGAAAUCUAUUUGUUACGCUUGGCUUCUGAGCAUU
Non-coding RNA from Cucumis sativus (cucumber), 94 nucleotides. The record is from Rfam. Lineage: Eukaryota; Viridiplantae; Streptophyta; Magnoliopsida; Cucurbitales; Cucurbitaceae.